AGCUACAGGCUUAACACAUGCAAGUCGAGGGGCAGCAUGGUCUUAGCUUGCUAAGGCCGAUGGCGACCGGCGCACGGGUGAGUAACACGUAUCCAACCUGCCGUCUACUCUUGGACAGCCUUCUGAAAGGAAGAUUAAUACAAGAUGGCAUCAUGAGUCCACAUGUUCACAUGAUUAAAGGUAUUCCGGUAGACGAUGGGGAUGCGUUCCAUUAGAUAGUAGGCGGGGUAACGGCCCACCUAGUCUUCGAUGGAUAGGGGUUCUGAGAGGAAGGUCCCCCACAUUGGAACUGAGACACGGUCCAAACUCCUACGGGAGGCAGCAGUGAGGAAUAUUGGUCAAUGGGCGAGAGCCUGAACCAGCCAAGUAGCGUGAAGGAUGACUGCCCUAUGGGUUGUAAACUUCUUUUAUAAAGGAAUAAAGUCGGGUAUGCAUACCCGUUUGCAUGUACUUUAUGAAUAAGGAUCGGCUAACUCCGUGCCAGCAGCCGCGGUAAUACGGAGGAUCCGAGCGUUAUCCGGAUUUAUUGGGUUUAAAGGGAGCGUAGAUGGAUGUUUAAGUCAGUUGUGAAAGUUUGCGGCUCAACCGUAAAAUUGCAGUUGAUACUGGAUAUCUUGAGUGCAGUUGAGGCAGGCGGAAUUCGUGGUGUAGCGGUGAAAUGCUUAGAUAUCACGAAGAACUCCGAUUGCGAAGGCAGCCUGCUAAGCUGCAACUGACAUUGAGGCUCGAAAGUGUGGGUAUCAAACAGGAUUAGAUACCCUGGUAAUCCACACGGUAAACGAUGAAUACUCGCUGUUUGCGAUAUACUGCAAGCGGCCAAGCGAAAGCGUUAAGUAUUCCACCUGGGGAGUACGCCGGCAACGGUGAAACUCAAAGGAAUUGACGGGGGCCCGCACAAGCGGAGGAACAUGUGGUUUAAUUCGAUGAUACGCGAGGAACCUUACCCGGGCUUAAAUUGCAGAUGAAUUACGGUGAAAGCCGUAAGCCGCAAGGCAUCUGUGAAGGUGCUGCAUGGUUGUCGUCAGCUCGUGCCGUGAGGUGUCGACUUAAGUGCCAUAACGAGCGCAACCCUUGUUGUCAGUUACUAACAGGUUCUGCUGAGGACUCUGACAAGACUGCCAUCGUAAGAUGUGAGGAAGGUGGGGAUGACGUCAAAUCAGCACGGCCCUUACGUCCGGGGCUACACACGUGUUACAAUGGGGGGUACAGAGGGCCGCUACCACGCGAGUGGAUGCCAAUCCCAAAAACCUCUCUCAGUUCGGACUGGAGUCCGCAACCCGACUCCACGAAGCUGGAUUCGCUAGUAAUCGCGCAUCAGCCACGGCGCGGUGAAUACGUUCCCGGGCCUUGUACACACCGCCCGUCAAGCCAUGGGAGCCGGGGGUACCUGAAGUGCGUAACCGCGAGGAGCGCCCUAGGGUAAAACUGGUGACUGGGGCUAAGUCAUAACAAGG
This 1454-nucleotide ribosomal RNA is filed under the name uncultured organism. Its description in RNAcentral is "SSU rRNA". It matches the Rfam family "Bacterial small subunit ribosomal RNA". The record is from RNAcentral.